CUGCCCUUGACAUUGAUGGAAUCCUGCAGAGAUGCGGGAGUGCCUUCGGGCCCUGAAAACAGGUGCUGCAUGGCUGUCGCCAGCUCGUGUCGUGAGAUGUUGGGUUAAGUCCCGCAACGAGCGCAACCCCUGUCCCUAGUUGCCAGCGGUUCGGCCGGGAACUCUAGGGAGACCGCCGGUGACAAACCGGAGGAAGGUGAGGACGACGUCAAGUCAUCAUGGCCCUUACGGGCAGGGCUACACACGUGCUACAAUGGACGGUACAGAGGGUUGCCAACCCGCGAGGGGGAGCCAAUCCCAUAAAGCCGGUCGUAGUCCGGAUCGGAGUCUGCAACUCGACUCCGUGAAGUCGGAAUCGCUAGUAAUCGCGAAUCAGCAUUGUCGCGGUGAAUACGUUCCC
RNAcentral lists this ribosomal RNA (400 nucleotides) under uncultured bacterium. RNAcentral's name for it is "bacterial SSU rRNA". It matches the Rfam family "Bacterial small subunit ribosomal RNA", at positions 975 to 1375 of the family's 1533-position model. The record is from RNAcentral.